RNAcentral lists this ribosomal RNA (482 nucleotides) under uncultured bacterium. RNAcentral describes it as "bacterial SSU rRNA". It matches the Rfam family "Bacterial small subunit ribosomal RNA", at positions 29 to 506 of the family's 1533-position model. The record is from RNAcentral.
UUGAACGCUGGCGGCAUGCUUUACACAUGCAAGUCGAACGGCAGCGGGGGCUUCGGCCUGCCGGCGAGUGGCGAACGGGUGAGUAAUGCAUCGGAACGUACCCAGUCGUGGGGGAUAACUACGCGAAAGCGUGGCUAAUACCGCAUACGCCCUGAGGGGGAAAGCGGGGGACCUUCGGGCCUCGCGCGAUUGGAGCGGCUGAUGUCGGAUUAGCUGGUUGGUGGGGUAAAGGCCUACCAAGGCGACGAUCCGUAGCUGGUCUGAGAGGAUGAUCAGCCACACUGGGACUGAGACACGGCCCAGACUCCUACGGGAGGCAGCAGUGGGGAAUUUUGGACAAUGGGCGCAAGCCUGAUCCAGCCAUGCCGCGUGAGUGAAGAAGGCCUUCGGGUUGUAAAGCUCUUUCAGCAGGAGCGAAACGGUCGUUUUUAAUACAGACGGCUAAUGACGGUACCUGCAGAAGAAGCACCGGCUAACUACGU